CGUGCCAACUGUCUGUUUUUCCGAGUGGACAAUAAAGUUUCGAAAGUUUGAAAAAGGAAGAGAAAAAACCCCCACGCCCCUUAGGCUUCCCGGGCUUGGACGCCUGCGGCCCGGCUCAGUCGGAGGUCCGGCGGCAGUGUGCUGGCGGAGGCGUGGUCGGCGCGCCGGGAUGGGGGUCACCGUGGACGUGCACGAGGUGUUCAAGUACCCCUUCGAGCAGGUGGUCGCCAGCUUCCUCCGAAAGUAUCCAAACCCCAUGGAUAAAAAUGUCAUUUCCGUAAAAACUGUGGAGGAAAGAAAAGAUGUGUCAACAGGGAUCAUCUAUAGAAAGAGGAUUGCAGUCUGUCAGAAUGUGGUUCCAGAAAUUUUAAGGAAGGUGAACAUUUUAAAGGUACCUAAUAUCCAGUUAGAAGAGGAAUCAUGGUUCAAUCCUCAGGAGAGGAACAUGGCUAUAAGGAGUCACUGCCUUACAUGGACACAAUAUGCAUCCAUGAAAGAAGAGUCUGUCUUCAGGGAAAGUAUGGAAAAUCCAAAUUGGACAGAGUUCAUUCAGAAAGGCAGGAUUUCAAUCACAGGGGCUGGUUUUCUCAACUGCGUUUUGGAGAAUUUUGCUAGUACAUUUUUAAGACAGGGUGUCCAGAAGUAAUUUCUGACCUAUUCGUUGUCAUUGUACCUGUUACGGCGAUCGGUGAUCUCUGAUGUCACUGGUGUAGUGUUAACUCUCACCAUGAUUAUUCCAGCUCUCGCAGUGCCACUUAGUAGCUGGAUCACUUUCAGGAAUUAGAAUAAUGGAGAUGCUGCUAAAGGAACAGUGUGGUGCCCCCUUAGCCGAAUAAAGAAUCACCAGGAAGUCGUGCUGUGUCUACUUCUGCUUGAGCAUAUUUCCUCGGACACAACACAUCCAGAGACACGGAUUUAGAGAUACAGGUUUAAGGAUGUGGUGUUGGCAGCUUAGAGAAGAGGAGACCUUCCUGCUGGCACUUGACGUGAUCCAUGCCCCUGGGAGUCGGCCCCAGAGAGAGACUCUUGUGGGGCUGACACCUUCUGGCUGAUUCUUAAUGGCACAAGCUCUGCAAUUUUACAAAUAAAGAAAAAAUCCCAGAGAAGGUGAUGUUCAUAGAAAAAAUCCUGGAGAAGCUGAUGUCCAUCCUUCAUCAGGACAUCCUGCUGAUUGCCUGGUGAUGGUGUCAGGGCAGCUAAGGAUGGGCCAGAGGCCUGGAAAGUACUGCGUGUUUCUACUUGUUCUCUGCAUCAUGGCUCAUAGAACUCACAAGAGGAUGCUGGGGCAAAUAAAGGAGUUAAACCUGAUACGUGAUUCUUGGGUGGCCCGAAACAGACAGAAAUACACCAGACCUAUGUUGAAGUUAAGCCAUAUUCAUAGAAAUGUUGAAGAGUCUCAGAAGUCAGGAGCACUUGACUUUUUCUACCCAGCAAUACAACGUACCUGCCACCAGCAUAGCUUUUAUAAUGCGAACUGAUUGGUCCUUAACACAACCUGGAGCGGGCAGGGGAGCUGUGGGCUAUCAUCUUGGCUCCUUCUAACUCAUUCUGGGAUGUGGAGCAGAUCACGUGACCUCUUCUUUUCUUUUCUUUUUUUUUUACUGGGCAAAUGGGGAUAAUCGGGCACAGAUCUUUCUACUUGUGAUGAUUUUACCAGGGUGUUUGGUGUAAAAAGCUCAAGUCUGGGAGCCAAACGGACAGAAGCAAGUUUGAAUAUAUGCGCGGCUCCCAGCAGCUCCAUGAUCAUGUACGUAGUUUAAAGUCUUUCUGAUACUCAUUUUUAAAGUUAUAAAAUGGGGUUAUAGAGUUAACCUUACGAGGUUGUUGGAACAAUUGGACAACAUGUGAUUAAGUGCCUAGCAUGCUUUUUGGUACACAGAAGUAAAUAGAAGCCAUUAUUAUUAUGUGAAACAGUUUUGGAAAUGUGCUUUUCCAGUGUAAUGUAAUGUAGUAUUACUGUUUGAAAAUUAGAUGAUGGUAGUUUGCGUUUUCUAUGAUGGGAAGCCAAAAUGUAAGUACGCACUGUCUACACGAAAGCUUGAAGAGAGGCAAUAAUUUGCAAUUCCUUUUAAGAUAAAAAUUGGGCCAUUACUGGAAAGUCUUGGGGAAAUCUUGUUUUUUAAUGUUUAAAAAUUUUCCAUUUAGUGCACUGAUGAAUUUCAGAGGAAUUGUAUCUUUCUUCCUUCUUCUUUUUUUUUUUAAAUACAAGCCAGCCACUGUGGGCUCCUCUUAUGGUAUUUGAGCUGUUUGUGCUGCCUGAGUUUUGUGUGUCAGGAUAAUUUCCCUUCAUUUCCUUAGUGUUUCAUUCUUUGGUUGGGUUCAGAGGGAAAAUGAAUGACGGAAAUCGGAACAUGCUUUGACCUCCUUUUCCAGUUUGUAAACGUAGGAUUUUGGAAUAAUGGCACAUUUCCAAAAGUAAAAGCUAAUGUGAGUUAUCAUGGAGGUGAGAGGUGGGAAACCAGUAUUUGGAAGUUGUGUUAGAAUAAUCAUUACUUUGGGAGUUCCCUAGUGGUCUGGUGGUUAGGAUUCCACACUUUCACUGCCAUGGCUUGGGUUCAGUCCCUGGUCAGGGAACUGAGGUCCUGCAAGCUGCAGGGUUUGACUAGAAAAAAAAGAGAGAGUAAAUGUAACACUUCACAUUCAGCAACUUGCAUUCCCUGAAGGCAGGAGUUCUCAGCCGUGGCUGUCCAUUAGUACCACGUGGGAGCUUUCUGCAGUCCUAUCGCCCGGGUUUCAUCCCAGACCAAUAAGUCAGAGUCUCCAGGGGUGGAUCCCAAACAUCAGCUUUUUUUUUUUUUUUUUUAAAUAAAGCUCCCUAGGUGAUUCCAAUGAACAGCUAAGGACACAAACUCUACAGUGAUUUCUAGGUGAUUUGCAGGUGUUAUCUGAUUCCUUUUUUAACACCUCCAAGGUAGCAAAGCAUCUUUGUAGCAGGAAUUAGUGUUAGAGUAAACACAGAGAGACUGACUUUAGGCCUUAAUUCCUCAAAGCUGGGGCGGCCGCUGCAAAUGCCUGCAGGGUCUGGCAAGUGAUCUGGUGCGUGAAGCAGGCUGGUGGACCCUAGGGAGACCCCAGGAAUAUGUGGCUGGCCAAAGGUGGGCAGCUGACACCCAGUUCAGCACACUGCUGCCAAGUGGCUGGUUUUUCUAGUUCUUCCAAUUUCCAAUUUUCUGGGAAAGGAUAGAAUUAAAAAAAAAAAAAAACAACUCCCAAUUUUUAUGUGUUGGCAACGAAUUCAGGAUUGUUUAAAACAUUGUGCUGGCCAAACAAAACAUGUUUGCCGGUAGUUUCCAGCCUUUGCUUCAAGAGUGUUAAGGACCAGCUUAAACAUCCCAGCCAAUUUUUGAGAGAUUUGCAUUUCCUGAUUCUGGAUGUUAAGCUGCUCUCUGCCUGUCCUCCAAGACUGCUUUCACGUGUAUUUUUCUCCCCUUUCCCGAGCCGUCCCCUGAACUCGCAUCAGACACUUUUCUUCACUAUUUUUUUUCCCCGUGGGCAUCCAUUACUUCAAGCUUACAUAUAUGGCUUAGAAAUCUUCUGUUCCUUUUAAAAUUAAUUAGGGCUUGUUAAAAAAUUUUUUUUUAAUUACAUGUCAGAACGCUUUUCCUGUGAUACAACAUUUAGAAGUCCACAUCUAACUUGACUGUCUAUAAAAUGUCAAAACCAGGAGUGUAGCCUUGUGGGCACAUUAGCAACAUGAGUGGGCAGGGUUAACUCCCAGACCUGGCCAGUCUGCUCCUGGCCUGGUUGCUGAACCUACACGUGAAGGUGAGGCCGUAUCAGAGUGAUUCUCAGGCUUCUGCUUGUACCAGAAAUCCUUGAGAGGGUGGGCUCAAUGGCAGGUUCCCAGGGUCUGCCCCAGUGAUUCAUGAAAUUUCAGUUGGGACUCAGGGAUCUGCACUUUAAAACAAGUUCACCAGGAGAUUUGGCUGUGCUGUUCCACAGACCAGAUUUUGAGAAACGGUGGUCCAGGGGAGGUGUUUGUGGCUUGUGUAUCUAUCGUGUAAGAAGGCUUUAUAGUCGAUUGGGCCCACUGAUGAAUACAGGUGAUCACUCAGGACACAGUAUCGAGCUCUCAUGCACAGAGAGGCUGACUUAGGGUACCCCUACAUGAUUGAGGUGCUUUCGCCAUGAAUGAGCUUUUGUGGUUUCAGUCAUGUGGAUACAAAAGGUGCUAUAUUCUUUUGAUAUAAAUUGCUUUGUGUGUCUUAUAAGCAGUAUUGUGUAGUGAUAUCUCAUUUAUCAGACAUCAUGGGUACACGGCAUAGCCGACUCAAGGUUGUUCUUUGUUUUUUAUGGACUGUGAUUGCUUUACAAUGUUGCGUUAGUUUCUGCGGGGCGGCAUUGUGAGUCGGCCAUAUGUAUGUGUAUAUCCCCUCCCUCGGAGCCUCCCUCCCACUCCACCCCUGUAGGUCAUCACAGAGCACUCAGUCGAGCUCCUUGUGUUACGUACCACUUCCAGCCAGCUGGCUGUUUUACACGUGGUAGUGUUUAUAUGUCAAUGCUGUUUUCUCAGUAAGGUUAUUCUUUUCAGUCGCACAUCUUUUUUGCUCUCAUUCAGCCAUUUACGUGGAACUCUUAAUUUAGUAUCUGUUUCCCUGCUUUUGUAAACAGAAUCAACUGAAGAUAGGAAUUUCAUUUCAGGGUGGUCAUUUAUGUUUUGACUUCUUUCAGGUUCUCUUCAGGUUUGUUAAAGCCCCUCUGCUGAACAGCUCCGCUCCUUGAGGUUUACCAUGGUUUUCCUAGUUUCUUCUUUUCCGUCACAGUUCCCUGUCAUGUCUCCCUGCCUUAACUCUGCAUAUCUCUAUGAACUUCCCUCUCCAUUGCUACCUGGGGUUGGGUAAUGCUGUUAAUUGCAUACUAUAUAUCAAGUAACAGUAAACCGGAGCCACGCGAGUCUUUGGGAGGCUUUUCUAACAGUGAAAUGGAUCGAUGUUGCUGUAUUAUUUUAGUGGCUCCACUGCUUCCUCUGACUGACUUCUUGAUCCUCAACUGCAGUUGUCAGAUCUGUGACCACAUGAUAAUGGAGAUAUUGCUACCAAUGAUGUCCUUAGAUCUGUACUCUGUGGUCUCCCCAACUCUGUUAGCGUUCUUAUAUAUACAGUUUUAUAAUGUGAAACGUAAGUAGAUUACAAAUGAACAUUUCUGUGCCAACUGUCUGUUUGGGAUAAAGUGUUUUUGAUUCAGUGUUACUGUGAUUUAGAGCUACAAAUUAGUUGUAUCCCUCUGAAAUUUGAUCCUGUCAUCCUUCUGAAAUAAAGGUGUCACAACUAAUAUUUAUGUGUGAGUUUUAAUUUCUUGAGGGCAUCACACCACCCGGCAGAGCUUGUGUGUAUCAUGUGUAGCAAUGAUAACCUAAUGUAGUAAUCUAGUCCUUUUAACAAUCCCAGAGAAGAGUGUUAGGCCAGUCAGAUGUAUUAGUCCGCUCCCUCCCCCGAGCUGAGCCAUCGCUUCUCCCAGAAACAAGCAGAGGCUGCCCUUACCAGAUGAGAAGAUGGGU
This is an RNA transcript of Dama dama (fallow deer), 5497 nucleotides long. It is a transcript of the gene named PRELI domain containing 2, with no coding region annotated. Lineage: Eukaryota; Metazoa; Chordata; Mammalia; Artiodactyla; Cervidae. The record is from RefSeq and is a predicted model, not a curated record. The transcript is spliced from 8 exons.